Molecule: long non-coding RNA, 400 nt
Filed under: Musa acuminata (dwarf banana)
Lineage: Eukaryota; Viridiplantae; Streptophyta; Magnoliopsida; Zingiberales; Musaceae
Description: long non-coding RNA (MACU_LNC004682)
Source: RNAcentral
GCGAUCGUGACGCUGAAGGAGCGCACCGGGUCGAGCCAGUAUGCGAUCGGGAAGUUCCUCGAGGACAAGCACAAGAAUCACCUCCCGGGAAACUUUCGGAAGAUCCUCCUCGGCCAGCUGAAGAGGCUCACUGCUGCCGGUAAGCUCAAGAAGGUAAAGAACUCCUACAAGGUAGCCGCCGCCACCGCCACCUCCUCUUCCUCGUCCUCCGCUGCUCCGACGAAGCCUAAACCGAAACCCAAGGCAGCCACCAAGAAACCCGCUGCUCCGACGAAGACGAAGCCCAAGGCGAAGGCCCCCGCUGCCGCUAAGCCCAAGCCGAAAGCUAAGCCGAUCCCCGCUGCCAAGCCCAAGCCGAAGGCAAAGCCGGCUUCCCCCGCCAAACCGAAAGCCAAGCCAG